Anolis carolinensis (green anole) is the source of this 1159-nucleotide long non-coding RNA. RefSeq lists it as uncharacterized. NCBI's taxonomy places the organism in Eukaryota, Metazoa, Chordata, Lepidosauria, Squamata, Anolidae. The record is from RefSeq and is a predicted model, not a curated record. The transcript has 2 exons.
AAAAAAUAAAAUAAAAAAUCCAAACAUGCAACACUUCAUAUCCCAAGCAUUUUGGAUAAGAGACAGUCGACCAUUCUGCCUCAUUACUAUUCUUUACAUGUCAUCUUUCAAUUUGUGAAGGCUAUGUGUUAUGAUUGAGCCUCAUGGCUCUGCUUCUGGCAGACGUGGACGUAAGACUCCUCGAGAGUCAGAUACUCUCGAGGAGCGAGAAAGAAAGAGGCUGCGAGAUAUCUUUGCAGAACCGUCUGACGAAGAGUCUUUUAAGGGGUUCACGGAGAGAAUGGAGGAAGAGCUGGUUAGCUCGGAAGAGGAUGAGAUGGAUUGGACUCGGGUAAGGGAGGAGUUGGGUGCCACUGGCAAUAAUGGGAUGGAAGAUGAAUGGGGACCUUCAGGAUUAGACCCAUGGACAAGCUGGAGGGAUGGGACGGGAUCCACAGCUGGGGAUGCUGUGGGGCGUAGUCAGAGGUGUUCCAGCUCUGAUGAGGAAAGUGAUGAGGAAACGCCCGGGUUAAGGAGGGCAGCUGAUAGUGAUGAGGAUUUGUAACUGGCAUAAAAUGAGGCUUGGGAGCAAUUGCAAAUUGCGUUGGGCAAGGUAAUCUGGACGAACGCUUGGGAUCUGUGUGGGACGCUUUCCUGAAGACUGGUGUGUUUUCGUGUGCUGAUACCUUUGACCUUCCGUCGUCUUCUUGACGGACGCCAUCUGCUACUCUGGAUUUACGGACUGAAAACUGACUACGGGCUCGCUUUCUCCUAUUGGACUUGGAAAACUGCAAACGUCUGAUUCUGCCUCUCGACCUUCGGAACGAAUUGGGACUACGCUACUGCUUCAAUCCUUGGCUGUUGAGUUUGUAUUGGAAAUUUGCCUUGCUGUGUGAAGGAGUGACUCCUAGUUACUCAAAACAUAGUGCUGGCAGCAGAGUGUUAUCUGCUGCCAAUUAGUUGCAUUCUUUUGAACUCCUUGUUUCCCAGCUUCUGUUUGUUUUUCCCCAGGCUGAAGCAAGCUGUUUUGAUUUUACCCGGAUUAAACUCCGGUUUAAUCCGGUUUAUCUUUUGAACGUUUUUUCUUGCCCCUUUUUGUUUUUAAAGGCUAAGUUGCCUUGCCCUUGUCUUUUACGGGCAUUUUGAGUUCUGUAAAUCCAAUAAACUCUGUUAUCUUUGA